RNAcentral lists this non-coding RNA (2417 nucleotides) under synthetic construct. The record is from RNAcentral.
AGGGAACUGAUUACUCAACCAAGGUGACUAAUGAUUUGUAAGCAGCGCAGUUUGGAAAGUGAUGUGUGUGCUCUCAUUCCACCCUAUUUAAGAGGGAGACAAACUCUGAGUUGUGCAUCUACUCUUUCUGCUUCUGAGAAGAGCAUUGUUUUAACCCUUUACAAUGCAGACCUUCCAGCUUGACACUGAGCGCCUCUGCCAGGCAGCUAAGCUGUACCAGCACACCAAGUCUGACUUUGGCCUGAAUGGCAUGAUCCAGCUUUCUGGUUCAUGUAAUAAUAUGUCACUAUCUGUACUGGGAUCGAUUGGAGGCUGUGCUAUUCUGAGAUUGGAAUUGUUGGAGGCUGCCCGGCUCCAUUCAUCUAAAGACAGCUCCAAGUCUGCCAUUUACAGCUUUCGUAACGCAAGCUCCCUUGGAAGAGAAUUUACUCAUGGUGGAGAACUCUUUGGCCCCAAAAUGGAAUCUGCCUCCCUGUCUUUUUAUGGCCAUCAUGGAGUGAAAUAUGUGGAGGCACAAUUUGUGCAUGACAGCAGCAGCAAGACUGUACAUACUGCUGCUAUGCAGCCCAUCACCAUACCACCUUCGUGUGCCUUUGAUGAUCGUGAGGCCAAUGGUAUAGUGACAUUGUCAACAAAAACUGCAGCGGCGCUGGUCAAGUGGUUGAAGCAGCAUACAAAAACCUGCCAGUCACCAGUUAAGGUUUCUAUCAGUGAAAUCUUGGGUGUGAUGGUUCUUUCAGUUGGAGAUGCUAGCAUGACUGUUGAUGUCACUCCGGUGAAUGUUUCAUCUGGCAAGAAGACACGGGGUGGGAAUAAGGCUAGUGACUCUGGGACUAUCUCUGCAGACGCAACGGUGCAUGUUAAUGGACAUUGUUUGAUUAGAUCUUUGAUUGUAUGUAAAGUUCCUGGGUGUACAACUCCAAGAGUCAAGUUUCACGCCUGUGGCAUAUUAGAGGUAGAUGGGGCCCCCGUUAAACAGGGCGAGUUGACACAGGUAAAAUUGUCAGUGGCCCUCCUGAACGUGGACUCUUCAACUGGCAGAGUUUUGAAGGAACCUGUGGUGACUGGAGCAAGUAAAGAUCGAGGGGCUUCAAAGUCAGAAGACGCGGACGGUAGCCCUCCAGUACCAGAUCAUCCCAAAGAAUCCCUCACUAGCGACUCUGAUUCCUCAGUUCCUGGGCCACGAAGUACUGACCUUUCCUCUCUUACCCACACCCCUUCAGAUAGAUUUUCGAGCGACCUUAGAUCAGGGUGUGGGGGGCAACAGUUCCUCAAGAGACCACCCCCUAAGAAAGACAGGGAACCCACCACUAAGCGCCCCAAGCUACAUUUUAACCACUUCCCAUAAAUGAAGAGUCAUUGGUCAGACGUGUUCCUCCCACUCAUUGUGGGAGGAAUGUCUGCUGUUCCCUUUAUCUGGUGUUUAAUUUUUAGAACCCUUUACCUACCAAUAGAAUGUGACUGGAGAUGCUGGAUUUUUGUAUAUGGAUCAAUGAUUUGGCACAUAACCAUGUUUAUGUCACUAUUGUUUAAACAUAAACAUGGGAUGAUUGGCUGGUUUAAGUUGUGUAGUGCAGUUGCCAUAUGUCUGAUUAUAGUUUUGGCUCUUUUAGAACAAUACUGCCCAUAUGAGAUGUACAUUGUUCCUGUUAUAUUCAUAAUAAAUAUAGUUUUGCUUUCCACAUGGGUUCCCAUGGCACUUAUUUCAACAUACAUGUGCAACAGAAUAUAUGCACGCCUCUUGGAACUGGGAUUUUUGGCUGCCAUAAUAGGUUAUUAUGUGAUGUUGCAAAUUGGGGCACAAGAGUCUCCUGCCUUCUGGAUUCCCAUACCAGUGUUGCAUAUUGGGGGAGUGUAUGCUCUUCUCCACUUUAGAACAAGGCCCUGCUUUUUGCACUCUGUUGAAAAAAGACAUAGUAUCUACUACUUUGGAAAUAAUAAGUAUACCGUCUACCCCUGCGAGACCAUUGUGAGGAUGUGCAGCCCUGAAAUUUCCCUGAUGAUUAUUUUGAUUAUGAUGCUGGCCAUUGGCUUCCCCAUCCUGGCAUAUUAUGUGAAAAUUGUUCAAGGUAUGCAAUACUUCUACAUGUUCCUGAUGCUGGGACCAAUGGUAGGGGGCCUAAUUUUUGACAGCAAGAUUGUGGGCACCUUCUUCAUGAUGUUGGCAUUGGUGACUAUGAUUUUUGCUGGAAUUGCACCUGUCUGGUUUCCUCUCAUGGCAGAAAGGACCUUUGUUAUAUCCCUGAUAUUAGCCAACUUUUCUGCUGGCUGCUUUCUGGAAUGUAUGCGUGUCAAGUUAAGGAGAGCCAUAAAUGGUGUCUAUUUUGUUUAUCUAGUAACUGUUUUAUACAAUCUGUUAGUGGCCCUUAUCAUGAUUGCUGUAAGCAUGUAAUUAAUAAAAGACAAAACAGAUAUGC